UACGUAGGGUGCAAGCGUUAAUCGGAAUUACUGGGCGUAAAGCGUGCGCAGGCGGUUUUGUAAGUCAGAUGUGAAAUCCCCGGGCUUAACCUGGGAACUGCGUUUGAAACUACAAGGCUAGAGUGUGGCAGAGGGGGGUGGAAUUCCACGUGUAGCAGUGAAAUGCGUAGAGAUGUGGAGGAACACCGAUGGCGAAGGCAGCCCCCUGGGUUAACACUGACGCUCAGGCACGAAAGCGUGGGGAGCAAACAGGG
This 254-nucleotide ribosomal RNA is filed under the name uncultured bacterium. RNAcentral's name for it is "partial 16S ribosomal RNA". It matches the Rfam family "Bacterial small subunit ribosomal RNA", at positions 524 to 777 of the family's 1533-position model. The record is from RNAcentral.